This 215-nucleotide ribosomal RNA is filed under the name uncultured Citrobacter sp. RNAcentral's name for it is "partial 16S ribosomal RNA". It matches the Rfam family "Bacterial small subunit ribosomal RNA", at positions 309 to 525 of the family's 1533-position model. Lineage: Bacteria; Pseudomonadati; Pseudomonadota; Gammaproteobacteria; Enterobacterales; Enterobacteriaceae. The record is from RNAcentral.
CGCCCGCCGCGCGCGGCGGGCUACGGGAGGCAGCAGUGGGGAAUAUUGCACAAUGGGCGCAAGCCUGAUGCAGCCAUGCCGCGUGUAUGAAGAAGGCCUUCGGGUUGUAAAGUGCUUUCAGCGGGGAGGAAGGCGUUGAGGUUAAUAACCUCAGGCGAUUGACGUUACCCGCAGAAGAAGCACCGGCUAACUCCGUGCCAGCAGCCGCGGUAAUA